GCAUGCAGUCUGCCCGCUGCCUCCCCCUCAGCCGCCCUACAACUGAGGGGGAGGCAGUGGGCAGAUGCAUGC
Molecule: non-coding RNA, 72 nt
Organism: Podarcis lilfordi (Lilford's wall lizard)
Lineage: Eukaryota; Metazoa; Chordata; Lepidosauria; Squamata; Lacertidae
Source: the annotation of a GenBank genome assembly